RNAcentral lists this small RNA (144 nucleotides) under Jejuia pallidilutea. Its description in RNAcentral is "Flavo-1 RNA". It matches the Rfam family "Flavo-1 RNA". Lineage: Bacteria; Pseudomonadati; Bacteroidota; Flavobacteriia; Flavobacteriales; Flavobacteriaceae. The record is from RNAcentral.
GUUUAGCCCCGAUUGAAGCGGCAUCCUUUUUUGUGUAGAAUCUACAACUUAGUAUUACCCAAAACUCCAUCUUAGGCAUUAUACCAUAGGACAUACUUAAAUAUAAUUAGCACAAAAAAGAUAUAGCAGAAAGCGGGAAAUAGC